This 534-nucleotide ribosomal RNA is filed under the name Psacothea hilaris hilaris. RNAcentral's name for it is "partial 16S rRNA". It matches the Rfam family "Bacterial large subunit ribosomal RNA", at positions 1801 to 2608 of the family's 2925-position model. Lineage: Eukaryota; Metazoa; Arthropoda; Insecta; Coleoptera; Cerambycidae. The record is from RNAcentral.
UGUUUAUCAAAAACAUGGCCUAUUGAGAAUGAUUUUAGGUCUGGCCUGCCCACUGAUUUUUUUGAAUGGCCGCGGUAAUUUGACCGUGCUAAGGUAGCAUAAUCAUUAGUUUUUUAAUUGAAAGCUGGUAUGAAUGGUUAAAUAAGAAAAUAACUGUCUCUAAUUAAUUUUUAUUGAAUUUUAUUUUUAAGUAAAAAAGCUUAAUUAAUUUUGAAAGACGAGAAGACCCUAUAGAGUUUAAUAAAAAUGUGAGUUUUAAAUUUUUAGGAUUUUUAAUUUAAAAUAAAAUUUUUAUUUGAUUGGGGUGAUUGAAAAAUUAAAUUAACUUUUUCUUUAUUUUUACAUAAAUUUAUGAAUUUUUGAUCCAUAGAAAUGAUUAUAAGAUUAAAUUACCUUAGGGAUAACAGCGUAAUUUUUUUUGAGAGUUCUUAUCGAAAAAAAAGUUUGCGACCUCGAUGUUGGAUUAAAAUUAAUUUUUGGUGUAGAGGCUAGAAAAUUGGGUCUGUUCGACCUUUAAAAUUUUACAUGAUCUGA